RNAcentral lists this small RNA (1257 nucleotides) under uncultured Acidobacteriaceae bacterium. RNAcentral describes it as "bacterial SSU rRNA". The stretch from base 1 to 470 matches the Rfam family "Bacterial small subunit ribosomal RNA", at positions 1064 to 1533 of the family's 1533-position model. Lineage: Bacteria; Pseudomonadati; Acidobacteriota; Terriglobia; Terriglobales; Acidobacteriaceae. The record is from RNAcentral.
GUCGUGAGAUGUUGGGUUAAGUCCCGCAACGAGCGCAACCCUUGUCCUGUGUUGCCAUCCCGCAAGGGGGGACUCGCAGGAGACCGCCAGCAAUAAGCUGGAGGAAGGUGGGGAUGACGUCAAGUCCUCAUGGCCUUUAUGUCCAGGGCUACACACGUGCUACAAUGGCCGGUACAAAGCGCAGCUAAGCCGCGAGGUGGAGCCAAUCGCAAAAAACCGGUCUCAGUUCGGAUUGCAGGCUGCAACUCGCCUGCAUGAAGCUGGAAUCGCUAGUAAUGGCGUAUCAGAACGAUGCCGUGAAUACGUUCCUGGGCCUUGUACACACCGCCCGCCACAUCACGAAAGUGGGUUGUACUAGAAGUCUGCAGGCUGACCCGCAAGGGAGGCAGCGGCCCAAGGUAUGACUCAUGAUUGGGGUGAAGUCGUAACAAGGUAGCCGUAGGAGAACCUGCGGCUGGAUCACCUCCUUUCUAAGAGAGAACGUGGGUGGAGUCAGCACUUUCGGGUGUUGGCAGCCGUUCCACUCCAUAAACCUCUGUGAGCUCUUCGGAGCAAGCAGAGAGUCUCGUUCGGAUCUCCACUUGAAGUUCUGCAGUUUCGCUUGAGAUCUGGUGGCAGUGCUGCCAGGUCGUUGCGUCCAACCGGCCUCGGAAGAUUAAGCGGGGCUGUAGCUCAGCUGGGAGAGCGCCUGAUUUGCAUUCAGGAGGUCGCCGGUUCGAUCCCGACCAGCUCCACCAGGGUUGAAGAAGGGAGUCGGACCAAUCGAGUUACGACCCAGGAGAUUGGGCCUGUAGCUCAGUUGGCUAGAGCGCACCCCUGAUAAGGGUGAGGUCGGUAGUUCGAUUCUACCCAGGCCCACCAGCCGAUCGCGAGCGAUCGGCUGCCAUGCGGGCAUGGCGGGAGUCAGAAGUCAGGAGACAGGAGUCAGAAUGGCUUAGCUUCUGGCAAGUGACUACCGCGGGAAGAGAUUGGAAGUGAGCGGCUAGGAUUGGGGAUUCUGACUCCUGGCUUCUGACUCCUGACUUCUUUUUCAGGAACCCUGACUUUUUCAGGAAUCGAUCUUUGACAACAGAAUAUUGACGGGCAUAAAUUACACAAGUAAGUAGUAGCGCAAGAAGCACUUUGUGUUUAGAGUAGAUUUUAUGGUCAAGCUACAAGGGCGUGUGUGUGGAUGCCUAGGCGCAAGGAGGCGAAGAAGGACGUGGUCAGCUACGAUAAGCUCCGGGAAGCCGCUAACAGGCUGUGAUCCGGAGAUUU